Molecule: ribosomal RNA, 480 nt
Filed under: uncultured bacterium
Lineage: Bacteria
Description: bacterial SSU rRNA
Rfam family: Bacterial small subunit ribosomal RNA
Source: RNAcentral
AAUCAACGCUGGCGGCGUGCCUCAGACAUGCAAGUCGAACGCGAAAGUUUCCUUCGGGAAGCGAGUAGAGUGGCGCACGGGUGAGUAACACGUAAGUAAUCUACCUCGGGGUGGGGAAUAACAUCGGGAAACCGAUGCUAAUACCGCAUAAUGCAGCGGCUUCAUAUGAAGACAGUUGUUAAAGCAUUUAUGUGCCUGGAGAGGAGCUUGCGGCAGAUAGCUAGUUGGUAAGGUAAUGGCUUACCAAGGCAACGAUCUGUAGCCGACCUGAGAGGGUGGUCGGUCACACUGACACUGAAUAACGGGUCAGACUCCUACGGGAGGCAGCAGUCGGGAAUUUUGGGCAAUGGGCGCAAGCCUGACCCAGCAACGCCGCGUGAAGGAUGAAGUAUUUCGGUAUGUAAACUUCGUAAAAUAGAAGAAUAAAUGACGGUACUAUUUGUAAGGUCCGGCUAACUACGUGCCAGCAGCCGCAGUAAG